AGAGUUUGAUCCUGGCUCAGGACGAACGCUGGCGGCGUGCUUCAUACAUGCAAGUCGAGCGGACACCAUCCGGUGGCAACACUGGUGAAGUGUUAGCGGCGAACGGGUGAGUAACGCGUGAGCAACCUGCCCCCAAGUCUGGGAUAACCCCGGGAAACCGGAGCUAAUACCGGAUGCCCUCGUCGGGCCGCAUGGUCUGACGAGGAAAGUUUUUCGCUUGGGGAGGGGCUCGCGACCUAUCAGCUUGUUGGCGGGGUAACGGCCCACCAAGGCGUCGACGGGUAGCUGGUCUGAGAGGACGACCAGCCACACUGGGACUGAGACACGGCCCAGACUCCUACGGGAGGCAGCAGUAGGGAAUCUUGCGCAAUGGGCGAAAGCCUGACGCAGCAACGCCGCGUGGGGGAUGAAGGCUCUCGGGUCGUAAACCCCUUUCAGUGG
This 441-nucleotide ribosomal RNA is filed under the name uncultured bacterium. Its description in RNAcentral is "bacterial SSU rRNA". It matches the Rfam family "Bacterial small subunit ribosomal RNA", at positions 8 to 442 of the family's 1533-position model. The record is from RNAcentral.